Molecule: ribosomal RNA, 873 nt
Filed under: uncultured anaerobic bacterium
Lineage: Bacteria
Description: bacterial SSU rRNA
Rfam family: Bacterial small subunit ribosomal RNA
Source: RNAcentral
AUGAACGCUGGCGGCAGGCUUAAUACAUGCAAGUUGAACGGUAACAUAUUGUAGCAAUACGAUGAUGACGAGUGGCGUACGGGUGCGUAACACGUGUGCAACCUACCUUAUACCGGAACAUAACGUCGAGAAAUUGACGCUAACAUUCCAUAACAUUGCUUGAAGGCAUCUUUUAGCAAUUAAAACUCCGGUGGUAUAAGAUGGGCACGCGUUCCAUUAGCUUGUUGGUAAGGUAACGGCUUACCAAGGCUACGAUGGAUAGGGGUUCUGAGAGGAUUAUCCCCCACACUGGAACUGAGACACGGUCCAGACUCCUACGGGAGGCAGCAGUAAGGAAUAUUGGGCAAUGGAGGCAACUCUGACCCAGCCAUGCCGCGUGCAGGAAGACGGCCCUACGGGUUGUAAACUGCUUUUAAUAGGGAGUAAGGUUAGUUACGUGUAACUAAUUGCAAGUACCUAUAGAAUAAGGAUCGGCUAACUCCGUGCCAGCAGCCGCGGUAAUACGGAGGAUCCAAGCGUUAUCCGGAUUUAUUGGGUUUAAAGGGUGCGCAGGCGGACUAAUAAGUCAGUGGUGAAAUCUACAUGCUUAACAUGUAUCGUGCCAUUGAUACUGUUGGACUAGUAUGCAAAUGACGUAGCUGGAAUGUGUUAUGUAGCGGUGAAAUGCUUAGAUAUAACACAGAACACCGAUCGUGAAGACAGGUUACGAAUUUGUAAUAGACGCUCAGGCACGAAAGCGUGGGGAUCAAACAGGAUUAGAUACCCUGGUAGUCCACGCUGUAAACGAUGAUAACUUGUUGUUGGGCACAUAGUGCUCAGUGGCUAAGCGAAAGCGAUAAGUUAUCCACCUGGGGGAGUACGAUCGCAAGGUUG